RNAcentral lists this ribosomal RNA (495 nucleotides) under uncultured bacterium. RNAcentral's name for it is "partial 16S ribosomal RNA". It matches the Rfam family "Bacterial small subunit ribosomal RNA", at positions 28 to 507 of the family's 1533-position model. The record is from RNAcentral.
GAUGAACGCUGGCGGCGUGCCUAAUACAUGCAAGUAGAACGCUGAAGGAGGAGCUUGCUCUUCUGGAUGAGUUGCGAACGGGUGAGUAACGCGUAGGUAACCUGCCUGGUAGCGGGGGAUAACUAUUGGAAACGAUAGCUAAUACCGCAUGACAACAGUUAUUGCAUGAUAACUGUUUAAAAGGGGCAACUGCUCCACUACCAGAUGGACCUGCGUUGUAUUAGCUAGUUGGUGAGGUAACGGCUCACCAAGGCGACGAUACAGAGCCGCCCUGAGAUGGGGGUCGGCCACCCUGGGACUGGGACCCGGCCCAGUCGCCUACGGGAGGCAGCAGGAGGGAAUCGUCGGCAAUGGACGGAAGUCUGACCGAGCAACGCCGCGUGAGUGAAGAAGGUUUUCGGAUCGGAAAGCUCGGUUGUAAGAGAAGAACGAGUGUGAGAGUGGAAAGUUCACACUGUGACGGUAUCUUACCAGAAAGCGACGGCUAACUACGUG